UACGGAGGAUGCGAGCGUUAUCCGGAUUUAUUGGGUUUAAAGGGUGCGUAGGCGGGCACUUAAGCCGGCGGUCAAAUCGUGGGGCUCAACCCCAUCCAGCCGUUGAAACUGGGGAUCUAGAGUGUGCGAGAGGUAUGCGGAAUGCGUGGUGUAGCGGUGAAAUGCAUAGAUAUCACGCAGAACCCCGAUUGCGAAGGCAGCAUACCGGUGCACAACUGACGCUCAGGCACGAGAGCGUGGGUAGCGAACAGG
Molecule: ribosomal RNA, 252 nt
Filed under: uncultured Bacteroidales bacterium
Lineage: Bacteria; Pseudomonadati; Bacteroidota; Bacteroidia; Bacteroidales
Description: partial 16S ribosomal RNA
Rfam family: Bacterial small subunit ribosomal RNA
Source: RNAcentral